UUUGGGUGACUUCCUGACUAACUGGAAGACAAAGCAUGCGAGAGGCCCUGGGUUCAAUUCCCAGCUCGCCCC
RNAcentral lists this transfer RNA (72 nucleotides) under Saccharomyces cerevisiae EC1118. RNAcentral's name for it is "tRNA-Pro". The record is from RNAcentral. Lineage: Eukaryota; Fungi; Ascomycota; Saccharomycetes; Saccharomycetales; Saccharomycetaceae.